GAUGAACGCUGGCGGCGUGCCUAAUACAUGCAAGUCGAGUGAACAGACGAGGAGCUUGCUCCUCUGACGUUAGCGGCGGACGGGUGAGUAACACGUGGAUAACCUACCUAUAAGACUGGGAUAACUUCGGGAAACCGGAGCUAAUACCGGAUAAUAUAUUGAACCGCAUGGUUCAAUAGUGAAAGACGGUUUUGCUGUCACUUAUAGAUGGAUCCGCGCCGCAUUAGCUAGUUGGUAAGGUAACGGCUUACCAAGGCGACGAUGCGUAGCCGACCUGAGAGGGUGAUCGGCCACACUGGAACUGAGACACGGUCCAGACUCCUACGGGAGGCAGCAGUAGGGAAUCUUCCGCAAUGGGCGAAAGCCUGACGGAGCAACGCCGCGUGAGUGAUGAAGGUCUUCGGACCGUAAAACUCUGUUAUUAGGGAAGAACAAAUGUGUAAGUAACUAUGCACGUCUUGACGGUACCUAAUCAGAAAGCCACGGCUAACUACGUG
This 497-nucleotide ribosomal RNA is filed under the name uncultured bacterium. RNAcentral describes it as "partial 16S ribosomal RNA". It matches the Rfam family "Bacterial small subunit ribosomal RNA", at positions 28 to 507 of the family's 1533-position model. The record is from RNAcentral.